This 103-nucleotide microRNA precursor is filed under the name Pelobates cultripes (western spadefoot toad). Lineage: Eukaryota; Metazoa; Chordata; Amphibia; Anura; Pelobatidae. The record is from RNAcentral.
UGCAUUAUAUACACACUACACAAACACACUGCAUUAUAUACACAGUGUGUUUGUGUAGUGUGUGUAUAUAAUGCAGUGUGUUUGUGUAGUGUGCAUUAUAUAA